This 254-nucleotide ribosomal RNA is filed under the name uncultured bacterium. Its description in RNAcentral is "partial 16S ribosomal RNA". It matches the Rfam family "Bacterial small subunit ribosomal RNA", at positions 524 to 776 of the family's 1533-position model. The record is from RNAcentral.
UACGAAGGGGGCUAGCGUUGUUCGGAAUUACUGGGCGUAAAGGGCGCGUAGGCGGCGUGUCAAGUCAGGCGUGAAAGCCCCGGGCUCAACCUGGGAACCGCGCUUGAGACUGGCAUGCUCGAGUUCGGGAGAGGAUGGUGGAAUUCCCAGUGUAGAGGUGAAAUUCGUAGAUAUCGGGAGGAACACCUGUGGCGAAAGCGGCUCACUGGACCACAACUGACGCUGAGGCGCGAAAAGCUAGGGGAGCAAACAGG